RNAcentral lists this small RNA (438 nucleotides) under Arabidopsis thaliana (thale cress). Its description in RNAcentral is "ATSL018890". The record is from RNAcentral. Lineage: Eukaryota; Viridiplantae; Streptophyta; Magnoliopsida; Brassicales; Brassicaceae.
AAAUGCUUGUUUUGCUUCUUUGAACAGUUUAUUUUCCCAAAAUUCCUUCUAGUGAGUGGUAUGGAUGAUCAAGACUUGUCGGUAUUGCAAGGUUUUACUUCCCGGCUUAUAGUCCCCUUUGCCUUUGUGGUAGAGUUUGUAACCUUUGGGGUUACUAUGAAUGCGAUCAAGCAAGAAGUAGUGAAGCUUGUACUUGUAUGUCGAUCUCUUAUGUGCUCUUUCUUUGAUUUGUAUCUUAUCUAUCAUUCGUUUAACCAUUUUUUGGUAACCUUUUUGGCAAUUGUUGCCUUUUUUCUUUGCAUUUCCUUUGUUAUGGAUGUAUUUUCUUCUCUUGUAUUAGAGGUUGCUGUGACUCUUUAAUCUAAUGAAAGUCAUAUGUUUGCCCAAAAAAAAAAAAAAGAACCAAAAUUUUAUAGAAGUGCCGUUACAUGAUGAGUU